Paramuricea clavata is the source of this 446-nucleotide non-coding RNA. NCBI's taxonomy places the organism in Eukaryota, Metazoa, Cnidaria, Anthozoa, Malacalcyonacea, Plexauridae. The record is from the annotation of a GenBank genome assembly.
CUACGGCCCUGCGUCAGGGGGAGAGUGCUACCACUCAAUUGGUUAAUCAGACUAUUUGACCAUGGGUCUAGUUCACCCAUCAUUAUUUUGCUAACUAGAUAAGACUUCGUCCAUUUCCAGAUAACACAAUAUUUUAAUAAUAAUUGAGCUCGUCACGGAAUGACGAGAAGUCAGAAUAAGUACACAGUGAAACUACAACUAGUUACCAGUUUCCUAUUCUACAGGUAACCCAUUAUGUUCUAUCUCCCCCCAAGUCUUAAAUGGUUCUUGGAUCAGAGAGUGUUUAAGACUGAUUGUCUGAAUAUGAAAAGUUAUAUAAAGGUCUGUGAUUAUUCUUUUAGUCCUUUUAUAUUGUGGCCCAGUAGUCUUCUCAGGGCUAAUGGUGGUUUCUUGUUUCUUGAAGGGACCUGGUUGUCGGUUGCUUGUUGGUCCGCUGUGGGUGGUGG